RNAcentral lists this long non-coding RNA (1017 nucleotides) under Vulpes vulpes (red fox). RNAcentral's name for it is "lncRNA (ENSVVUG00000027246.1)". Lineage: Eukaryota; Metazoa; Chordata; Mammalia; Carnivora; Canidae. The record is from RNAcentral.
AUGGGUUCAGAGGAUAACCCUGGGCAGAGCCUUGGCCACAACACGGCUCUGACCCCUGGACAGUUGGAAAGAAACCAGAGGGCAGGGGGUCCUGCAUGGGCAGCAAAGUCCACCUGCUCUGCCCACGUCCUCAGGGCUUCCUGCAGAGUGAAGGUCCCCAGGGCCGGACUGAUCCUCACAGCUGGGCGACAGGUCUCCUUGGAUGGGCCCCUCUGCAGGCGCCAUGCCGUGCACAGGAGGGGACCCCAGCCUGAGCUCAUGCGCCCCUCCGUGGCAAGACUCCCGCCCUUGGUGCGCAUCCACGGUGAAAACCUCACGGCCAGGACCCUGCAGACCGGAGGCCUGCACCUGCCGUUUGGAGUCGGAUGGGGCGAGACACUAUGGGGCGCACUGCCAAGGAGAAGUUCUAUAGAGGGGACGGUACAAGGAAGACACAGGAAGUUGGGGAGCACUUUUGGUUGCUGCUUCUCUCCCGAGCUGUCCCUUGUUUGUCUGAGAGCGUACUUUUCCUUCCUGUCCACAGCCGCUGGAACCUACAGUCAGGUGACUCCAGUGCCUGCCUGCUUGGCAUGGGCUUGUCCCCCAUGUGUUUGCUGGUUUGGGACGGUAUCCAGGAUGCCAUGAAUGGUGUGAUUUAGAUUCUGGAUCCUGACUUGUUCCUCUGGAGAGUUUUUGGUGGCCAGGUGUCCUUGGCUGGGCUCAGACUUUGAGCAUGGUGUGUUUGCUAGGACAAGGAUGUCCCUUCCUUCCCCCUGAGGCUUGCUGGCUGCACGGUCUGUCUCGGGCGUGCAGAGAUGUGUCCCAGGCAUGCGUGCGGGCUCGGAGCUCACCCUCCUUCCCAGGAUGCCCCAUCCUUGUUCAGAGCUCAGGCUAUCUCUAGCUUUGUUCUCCGGUUCUUUAAACUAGGAGCAUCGGGAGGUUUCCGUCCAAGCCUUAGCCACCGGCCUCUCCUGAGUGGGGCUGUGCUCAUCGGGAAGCUGUUAAAAUUAAAAAAAAAAAAAAAAAAAAAAAAAAAAA